AUUGAACGCUGGCGGCAUGCUUUACACAUGCAAGUCGAACGGUAACAGCACUCCGUUGGCUGACGAGUGGCGGACGGGUGCGGAAUAGUACGGCAUGUGCCACGUAGUUGGGGAUAACUACUCGCAAGAGUAGCUAAUACCGCAUAAGAUCUAAGGAUGAAAGCAGGGGACCUCCGGACCUUGCGCUACUAGUGCGGCUGAUGGCAGAUUAGGCAGUUGGUGGGAUAAAAGCUUACCAAGGCGACGAUCUGUAGCUGAUCUGAGAGGACGACCAGCCACACUGGAACUGAGACACGGCCCAGACUCCUACGGGAGGCAGCAGUGGGGAAUCUUGGGCAAUGGGCGAAAGCCUGACGCAGCAACGCCGCGUGAAGGAUGAAGGUCUUCGGAUUGUAAACUGCUGUUGUAAGGAAAGAAAAGCCGUGUACUAAUACAGGAGGGUCAUGACGGUACCGAAAGAAAAAGCACCGGCUAACUACGUG
This 482-nucleotide ribosomal RNA is filed under the name uncultured bacterium. Its description in RNAcentral is "partial 16S ribosomal RNA". It matches the Rfam family "Bacterial small subunit ribosomal RNA", at positions 30 to 507 of the family's 1533-position model. The record is from RNAcentral.